Molecule: ribosomal RNA, 358 nt
Filed under: uncultured bacterium
Lineage: Bacteria
Description: bacterial SSU rRNA
Rfam family: Bacterial small subunit ribosomal RNA
Source: RNAcentral
AACGAACGCUGGCGGCAGGCUUAACACAUGCAAGUCGAACGGGCGUAGCAAUACGUCAGUGGCAGACGGGUGAGUAACACGUGGGAACCUUCCUAGGGGUACGGAACAACUCAGGGAAACUUGAGCUAAUACCGUAUACGUCCGUGAGGAGAAAGAUUUAUCGCCCUUAGACGGGCCCGCGUCGGAUUAGCUAGUUGGUGGGUAACGCCUACCAAGGCGACGAUCCGUAGCUGAUCCUGAGAGGAUGAUCAGCCACACUGGGACUGAGACACGGCCCAGACUCCUACGGAGGCAGCAGUGGGGAAUCUUGGACAAUGGGCGCAAGCCUGAUCCAGCCAUGCCGCGUGAGUGAAGAAGG